RNAcentral lists this non-coding RNA (45 nucleotides) under Trichobilharzia regenti. Lineage: Eukaryota; Metazoa; Platyhelminthes; Trematoda; Strigeidida; Schistosomatidae. The record is from RNAcentral.
AUGCAGCUGAUGAGUCCCAAAUAGGACGAAAUGUGCAUCCUGGAU